Cyprinus carpio carpio is the source of this 3309-nucleotide long non-coding RNA. NCBI's taxonomy places the organism in Eukaryota, Metazoa, Chordata, Actinopteri, Cypriniformes, Cyprinidae. The record is from Ensembl.
AUGAUAUCUAUAUUAUGUAUUUUCCUCAAACUCACAAUAAAAAUUACUGUCCAAGUAAAUCGAGUCAAAUUAAAGUUGUUCUUUAAUUUUCCAGCUGCAAUUAAACCCAGGAUCUUUGAACCCAGAAUUUUUGACAAGGAGGCCACAGGCUUUGGGCCCAUAUUUGAGGAGGAGCCCUUGGACACAGUGUAUGCGGAGGAUUCACCAGAGAACAAAAUCUCCAUGAACUGCAGAGCACAGGCCUACCCUCCGGCCAUUAUCAAGUGGUGGUUAAACAACUGGGAAAUUAAACUGAUGGAGCAACCUGAUGAGCACUUUAGCCUGGUGGGAGGAAACCUGGUCAUCACCAACCCAGACAAGAGCAAGCAUGCUGGGAAAUAUGUGUGUGUGGCUAAGAACGUGUACGGCACUGUCAUCAGCAAAGAGGCCACUGUCAAAUUUGGAUACCUAAACCAGUUCCCUACAGAUGAGAGAGAGCCGGUGCAUGUUAAGGAGGGACAAGGAGCAGUGCUGCUGUGUUCUCCUCCCUCUCGCUAUCCAAGUGAGGUGAUGUUCCGCUGGAUCUACAAUGACUUCCCAAACUUCAUCAUACCAGACCAGAGGCGUUUCGUGUCACAGACCACUGGCAAUAUGUACAUCGCUAAAGUCGAGGCAUCUGAUGUUGGGAAUUAUUCUUGUUUCGUGUCAAGCCCCACCAUCGGCAAGAGUGUUUUCAGCAUGCCGAUUUCUCUGAUUCCACAAAUAGAGAAGGAGGUGAAGCGGUAUCCUGCUGAUAUCCGUGUGAAAUUUCCCAAGACUUAUGCUUUGGUGCAUCAGAACAUCACUCUGGAGUGCUUUGCCCUUGGAAAUCCGCUCCCACACAUCCGCUGGAGGAAGUUAGACGCUGAUCUCCCGCCCAACUAUGAGGUCAGCAUGAAUGGAGCUUUACUGCACCUGAUUAACGUUCAGUACGAGGAUGAAGGGAGCUACGAGUGUGAGACGCUCAACGUUAAAGGGAUGGACUGGUAUCGACAGUGGCUCUAUGUGGAAGGUAAAACAAGCUCUAACAACAAAAAUGUUGGUAGCGAACUCACUCUCAGGUGUGUUGCCGUGGGGAAGCCUUUACCAUGGAUACGCUGGCUGAAGGAUGGCUAUUCGCUGCUCUUUUCUAGAAGUGUCUUCGAAAAGGUACAUAAUUAUUGUCGAAGGUUGAGUGUCUACAAUGGUCUGUUCACAGCCUGUGCACCAACAUUCAUUUAUAAUCCAGUGAAGAAGGUUCUGCUCGGGGCUGAAAACGGUCGUGUGGUUAUAGAGUGCAAACCCAGCGCUGCUCCUAAACCCAAGUUCAUCUGGAAACGAGGCUCAGAGCUGCUGACCAACUCUUCAAGGAUGUUAAUUUGGGAUGAUGGAAGUCUGGAGAUUCUGAACGUGUCAAAAAGUGACGAGGGCUCGUACACAUGCUAUGCUGAGAAUGACCGCGGCAAAUCCAACAGCACAGGGACCCUCACUAUCACCGAGGCCACCAAAAUCACAGAGGCUCCAUCAGACACUGAGGCAGUUGUAGGUGACACUACAAUUCUCCAGUGUUCUGCAUCAUUUGAUCCCAGCCUGGACAUCACCUUUAUCUGGACUGUUGAUUCCUACGUCAUCAACUUCUACACAGACUUUGAACACUACGAGCUGCUCAUGGGUGACGAGAACAGCGGAGACCUGCUGAUCAAGAACAUCCAGGUGAGGCACGCAGGACACUAUUCCUGCACAGCUCAGACCAUAGUGGACAAUGCCACCGCAGAAGCUGAUGUUUUUGUCAAAGGUCUGCCUGGUCCUCCAGGUGGUGUCCGUGUGGAAGAGAUUGGAGACACGUCAGUAAAACUACGAUGGAGUCUGGGAUCAGACCACGGUAGUCCUUUUAUCCAACAGGUUGUACAAACACGAGACUUUUACGCCCUGGAUCCUGAGGACUGGAAAACCGCAUCCACCUCUCCUGUGUUUUUGGACGGAUCUACAGAGUCAGCCACCAUAGUUGACCUUUACCCCUGGAUGCAAUAUGAAUUCCGUGUGCAUGCAAUCAAUGAAUUUGGAGCUGGGGAAAACAGCCGUCCGUCCAUCAAAAUCAAGACAUGGGACGCCAGGCCUACAGUAGCUCCUUCUGAUGUACUGGGGCAAGUUGGAAUAAGCGGAGAGCUUAUCGUGACCUGGACUCCUGUAAAGCCUCAGUUCUUCUUUGGUAAAAAAUUUGGCUACGUCGUGGCGUUUAAGCAGCAUGAGGAUUCUGAAUGGAAGUGGACGACUGUGGAGGAUCCCGAGACUAGACGCUACGUCUACAAAGAUAGCAUGACCCCAGACACUGAGAUACAGGUCAAAGUGAAAACCUACAAUAACAAAGGAGAAGGACCCUCAAGUCUUAUAUCAGUGGUCGACUCACCAAGGCUAGCACCCACUGAAGCUCCAUUAGAUGUCUACGCCCGCCAGGUCACCGCUACAGAAGCUUUGGUCUGGUGGUUACCGAUCUACCAGGCACCGCCAAACUGGGUCGAUGGAUACCAGAUUCGUUACUGGAGGAAGUACGAUGAUAAUGAAGCUGCUGCCUCUCGAGUUCUUGUGCAUAGAGCAAUUAACCAAACUCGCCUGGAGAACAUGCGGCCUGACUCCCACUACCUCAUAGAGGUACGAGCGUUCAACGGAGCUGGGCUCGGGCCACCCAGCGAGCAUUGUGAAAUGUUCACCAGGAGACCACCCCCAAGUCGCCAUUUGAGAGUCUACAAAUAUGUCAGCUUUAAUCGCAAAUGGCUCUAUCUAUAUUGGGAUCACAUCUAUAACUACUGGAAUGAGUCAUAUGUGGAGGGAUACAAGAUUUUGUUCAGGAAGGAAGGAGAGCGUUAUGGGAAGCUUUACACCACAGGCAGACACUACAUUGACUUUCCCAUGCCAGAGACAGGUGAUUACAUCAUAGAGGUCCGAGCCCGCUGCGAGGGAGGUGAUGGACCCAUAUCACAGAUCAGAGUGCAAGGGAAAGCCGCUUUGGGUGCUGAAUCUCUCAGCGUCGCCUCUGUCUUGCUGCUGGCACUGGGAUGGAUGAAUUUAGGCCUGUAGGCAUAAACAGCUGUCAACACUUUUGGCGAAAUUCACUUCUAAGAAACAAUCUUUAUAUAUUUUGAGUGCAUUUCCUUAAAGCGGUGGUUUUCGUGGUGUAGAUGAAGUUUGUUUGGGAGUGUAGAAUAUAAAGAAUUUAUACCCUCUUGGUUUGCCUUACAAACUACAGUACCCGCAAUCAACUAAUGAAACGUAUUGUAAAAUAAAUGUGGUGGCAGGGUAUGGUGAACUUUUUUG